RNAcentral lists this ribosomal RNA (472 nucleotides) under uncultured bacterium. Its description in RNAcentral is "partial 16S ribosomal RNA". It matches the Rfam family "Bacterial small subunit ribosomal RNA", at positions 28 to 507 of the family's 1533-position model. The record is from RNAcentral.
GACGAACGCUGGCGGCGUGCCUAAUGCAUGCAAGUCGAGCGACGCACAUCGGAGGGGUAACCCACCGAUAUGACGGAGCGGCGAACGGGUGAGUAACACGUGAGCAACCUGCCCCACAGAUCGGGAUAGCCCAGGGAAACCUGGAUUAAUACCGAAUACCCUCGAGUAACCACAUGAUUGUUCGAGGAAAUGCCUUUGUGCUGUGGGAUGGGCUCGCGGCUUAUCAGCUAGUUGGUGGGGUAACGGCCUACCAAGGCAUCGACGAGUAGCUGGUCUGAGAGGACGAUCAGCCACACUGGGACUGAGACACGGCCCAGACUCCUACGGGAGGCAGCAGCAGGGAAUCUUGCGCAAUGGGCGAAAGCCUGACGCAGCAACGCCGCGUGGGGGAUGAAGGCCUUCGGGUUGUAAACCCCUUUCAGGAGGGAAGAAAUUGACGGUACCUCCAAAAGAAGCCCCGGCUAACUACGUG